Molecule: transfer RNA, 67 nt
Filed under: Dipodomys ordii (Ord's kangaroo rat)
Lineage: Eukaryota; Metazoa; Chordata; Mammalia; Rodentia; Heteromyidae
Rfam family: tRNA
About the family: Transfer RNA (tRNA) molecules are approximately 80 nucleotides in length.
Source: Rfam by way of RNAcentral
GGUGGCUCAGUAGUAUAGAGUGCUUGCCUUGCAUGCAUGAGGCCCUGGGUUCGAUUCCUCAGUACCA